UACAGAGGGUGCGAGCGUUAAUCGGAAUUACUGGGCGUAAAGCGCACGUAGGUGGCGACGUAAGUCGGGCGUGAAAGCCCCGGGCUCAACCUGGGAAUUGCAUUCGAGACUGCAUUGCUGGAGUACGGAAGAGGAAGGCGGAAUUCCCGGUGUAGCGGUGAAAUGCGUAGAUAUCGGGAGGAACAUCAGUGGCGAAGGCGGCCUUCUGGUCCAGUACUGACACUCAAGUGCGAAAGCGUGGGGAGCAAACAGG
Molecule: ribosomal RNA, 253 nt
Filed under: uncultured bacterium
Lineage: Bacteria
Description: partial 16S ribosomal RNA
Rfam family: Bacterial small subunit ribosomal RNA
Source: RNAcentral